CCAAAACACGCGGAUCCGACUGUGCUUGGGUCGAGUCAUCGGGUCGGGGGCUAUACGGCGCCGUUUUAAGGCGACUGACAUAGGCCUUAAACGGUGUCAUUUUCCGCACCAUAAAUAUAAAUUUUAAAACCCUAAAAUUAGCAUCCAUCUCUUUAUUUUUCAAAACGGAAAUAAAAAAACUAAAAAAACAAUCCAAACGCUCCCCUCUCAGCGCCGCUUCAAAAUCGAAGGUCCCUCCCCUCUC
RNAcentral lists this long non-coding RNA (244 nucleotides) under Gossypium raimondii (Peruvian cotton). RNAcentral's name for it is "long non-coding RNA (GRAI_LNC006266)". The record is from RNAcentral. Lineage: Eukaryota; Viridiplantae; Streptophyta; Magnoliopsida; Malvales; Malvaceae.